UAUAGGAAUCUGCCUACAAAUGUGGCGGUCAGACCAGGCCCCAAAUAUCUGAUUCUGUUCACCCAGACAUGCUUUAGGUCAGAGUAGCUCACAGGUGUGAGUACGGCUGGUAUAUACUACAUCAUUCUAGAAGCUACGUGGACAGGGCGUUAAAUAACACCGAGUCACAUAAUUAGGACGUUACUCACAUUUUACUUCUCUUUCUGUCUGAUUUUGCCAAGGCACCUAAUAUGCAUCUGACUGCUGAAGACUUCCAGUUCAUGGAGCUAUACAGGAGCAGGCUGGGGCUGACAGGAGUCUGGCAUGACUUGGUCAUACUGAACCUCCGUUGGCUUCUCCCUGCUCAGAAACCAUCUGUUCUAUAAUGUCUUCUAGAAUUGAACUGGGAUAUGAUGUUGUACUACCCGAUCUCUAAUUCCUGGGAGUCAGCCUUGAAUCUUUGUUCUUGCCUGAAAAUGAGCUCAAUUACUCAUCGCCAGUCUCCUGGUGUCUCUCUCACCUACCUACCCUGAAGAUUUCUUCUUUCUUUCUUGAAGUUGAACUUAUAUUUCAUAAUAGGUGCCUCUGUUUAAUCCACCGUUUGAAGUGCUGGAGGAGCAAGGAAGGCCAGAUGAGUUUCUUCCCUUUCAGCCCAUCUUCUGUGUCUCUCUAGAGACAUUAAAAAAAAAAAAAGCCAGCUCUCUGUUUAAAAGCCUCCAAUUUUCUGCAGACUAAAGUUCAGCCGCUCUAAUGUGGCACAUGGAAUUCUUUGUAACACAGCCUGCAUCUUGUAGGGUUUCUUGGUUACAGGCACAGUAACUAUCUCUGAAUGGUGCAAGCCUUAGAAAGCUCAUGGAAUGGAAGGCAUAGCUGAUCAAAGAAGCCUAAGAAAGGACUGGAACCAGCAGACCUCCAAUAAUCCAGAGAAUAGGACUUAAGCGACACUCUCUUCAAGACGCUGUGGCUGGUACAAACCAGCUCCAAGACAUUUCCCUCAGCCCCUCCAUUCAUGAUUUAAAUUCCUAAGAACCACCUCCCACCACCAUUGUGUGGCUUCUUAGAGGAAAUCCCAACCAAGGUGUCCCACGUCCCUUGGGUAAGGAGCAGUGACCUAAGCUCAGCCGGCUUGAUUGCGGAGGGCAGCGCCAUUCUUAAGCCCAUGCAGAAAACAUCCCUGCACUGAGUCAUCCGCCCUAGAAGUCUCCACUCUAGUCCUUCUCCCAUCACGUCUUCCCAGGGGAUAAGGAGGCCACAGGCCAAGGGCACUUGCCCACCUCAACCUGCACCCUCUCUUCUGGACCAUUCUCUUGGUCACAGAGACCCUGGACUUCCCUGCCCAAGUUGGCUCUUCCCUGGAUCUGUCCUCCCGAGGGCACAUGGCACAUGAAAGCCAGAGGGGAUGUAAAGACUGCUGUCCACCCAUUUUCACUGUGCAGGUUAUGAUGUACUCACACACGUACAAAAAGCCACUACAGUGAUGGGCAGAGCUGGGAGUAGGAAGAGAAGUGGGGAACAGGCUGAGGGUAGGGAUCCGGGAGCCAUAAGCCAGGAGCCAGCUCUCCCCAUGCUGCUAUAUUCUGGCAAGAAAAUCUGAGAAGCCAGAGGAUUCCAAAUUUGAACUUGGCCUUCCAGGUCAUUAUGAAGAUAGGAGGAUAGUACAUAUUUUAAAUGACACUUUAAUAGAUUGCUUUAUCACUUUCAAAUCCCUGGGCAUGUGGUAUAUGGCCCUUCAUUUGUACGCUUCCUCUGGGUCCUGCAAGGGUAUAGGCAGGUCGGUCAAAGAGCAUCAGGAUGCUGCUACCCGAGGAAGAGGCCAGUGAUGUCCACGUGCUGUUGAGAUCCCGUGUUCCCACCCCUGUGUCUAGUGACCCAGCGCCCCGUGACUCAGCUGCCCAGGCCCUGAGCAGACCCUGCAAAUGCCGGAGGCUCCCAACUGUCUCCCUGCCUCCACGUUAGCCCCCUGGAGUCCUCUCAGUCAAGCAUCCAGAGGUAUCUUUAAACAUAUAAUGAAUCAAGCCACUUCCCAGUUUAAAAGCCUACGGUGACCGCUCCCCACCCCCACCUACCCCGCCCAGAGGAAAAGUCAAAAUCCUUUCCACAUUUCGCAAAGCUUUGCACGACACCUCCCAGCCUCCAUCCACCGUCUCUCUGUCCUCUUGCUGACCCACUCCAGCCAUGCUGUCCUUCUGGUGGUCGCUGGACACGUCAAGCUCAGCCCUGCAUGGGGUCCUCUGCACCUGCUGUCCUUGUGGCUGGAACAUUCUUCCCUUGGUUGUCCCCAUGGCUAGCUCUUUCAGCUCCUUCAGCUCUCUGUUUAUGCUACUUCCUAGCACAAUCUUCUCUGGUGACCCCAACUAAAAUAGGGGGCCCCGUUCCCACCGCAGCAUCUCCCACCUCCUUUCCCUGCAUUAUUCUCCGCACAGCACUCCCCGUCACACUAUGCGUCUUGAUUGUUUCUUGCAUGUUAUCUAUCUAGACAGACUAGAAGAGAAGCAACGUGCGGGCAGGGACCUUUGUCUGUCUGUUCCCUGCUGUCUCUCCAGCACCUGGAACACUCCUGAGCUCAGAGGUGACACUCCACAAAUGUUUGUUGAGUGAAUAAUGGGAUGAAUGAAUGAAAGCAUACAUGCCAUGCCCCUGAGCCCCUGCAUAUGGUCCCCUCUCUGUCUGGGAUGCCACCAUCAUCUUCUCCUUCAAGGCCUAGCUCAGCAUUACCCUAUCUCUGCGGCACCUCCUCCUCUCCAUCCCACCCCAGCAGCAUUGUUUUUGGUUCCCCCAUCAUGCUUUACACAUACUUCUCUAAUAAUACUCACUACAUUCAAUUAUUGUCUGGUGUUUUUUUUCUUUUAAAAGAUGUACAUAAGCAGUACAUGAAUACAUUCACUUUAUUAAAUAUUCAAACAAUAUAGUAAGUGAAAGAUCUCCUCUAGGCUACUCUCAAAAUCUACCUUUCCUUUCCAGAAGUAAUCUUGUCUGGGAAUUUACAUACACAUACAUGGAUAAAAAAGUAAAGUUUUGUUUUGAGUGUGCAUGUGUGUGCUUUAUUAUACCUAUGUUCUGGCAUUUUCUAUGAUUUGCAUCUUUGACACAGAGUACUUUGUGUGAUUGUCUGUUUUGUACCUGUAUGCAUUUAAAUCACUUUAAAAAAUAAUUUAGCAUUGAAUUAGAUAGAAUGAAGGCAUGAAGAUUUAGUUGGCCAUUCCCCAUCUUAUGGGUAUUUAGAUGGUUCACAUUGCUGCAGCCAUGCCACAGUGAAAGUUCCUACACAGGUCUGUUAGAGCAUAUGUGUUUCUCCAGACUACAUACCUAGAAGGGAAAUAGAGGAUUUGAAAAGUGUGCAGAUUUUAACCUGUCAAUUCACCCUUUAAAAAGCCUGUAAAAAUUAUGCUUCUGUGAAGGUGGGAUAUUUUUAAUAUUUGCCUAUUUGCUGGGAGAAAAUGUCUCAUUCGAGUUUUGUUUUUCAUUUCCCUGAUUAUUGCUGAAGUUUACAUGUUUGUCUAUAUUUAUUAGAAUUUAGUUUCUCUUGUGACUCGUUUUUCCAUCUUCUUGGCCCGUUUUUCUUUUCUCUUGCUGUCACUAUCUUACGUGCCUGUUUGUUUUACUUGACUGUGAGCUCCUUCAGGUGGUCAUCACAUCUUAUUUAUCAAGGUUUCCCCUUCCAGAGCACACAGACAGUGCUUAAUGAAUGUAUAUCCAAUUGCAUUAUUGAAGCCAUAGGCAUUACCCUUUAUCAUGGUUAUCAUCAUUAUCAUCCUCCUCAUCACCGCCAGUACCAUUUAUUUAGUCUCACAGGAUGCUAAGCCCUGUCUCGGGAGGUGUGCGUAUAUAGUCUCUCAUCUUCCUAAUACCUCGCCCAACAAAGUGACUAUUGGUAGCUCUGUUUUACAGAUAAAGCAGUUGAGACUCAUGCAAGUUACACGGGCUGCCCAAGGACACUCAGCCGGAUUAUGAAGGGAGGGAUUAUGGAGCAGAGUCUUUUCAGCCUGGUUCCAAAGUAUGUGCAGUCUCCCUUAGAGCAAUUGGCCUCUUCCUGGCCACGCAUUAGAAUCACCUGAACAGGCUUUUAAAUGAUAGCUAUAUCCAGUCCUACCCCAGGCCAAUUGAUUCAGAAACUCUGGGACUAGGUCUGGGGAAGUGGUGUUAUAAAAAUCCCUACAUGAUUUUGAUGUGCAGAAAUGGUUGAAAACCUUUGGUCUACAUUGGGAGUGAACCAGCUUUUUUUGUAAAGUGCCAGAUAGUAAAUAUUUUAGACUUUGCCUGCCAUACAGUCUCUGUGGCAACUAUCCACCUUUGCUGUUGUAGGGUCAAAACAGCCAAAGACAAAAAUGAACGAACAUGACUGUGUUCCAAUUGAAACCCAUUUACAAAAACAAACGGCAGCCAAAUUUGGUCCAUGGGCUGUAGUUUGUGGACCCCUAGUCUAUAUCAUAAUACUUCGAAGAUCUUGGAAUUUCGGAUUGUCCCAGUCAAACCAGGACAUCUGGUCACAUUAAUUACCUUGCUAAGUCUCAAGGACAGUGGCAUGAGAAUCUUUGCCCCACCUCAACAGAUUCUGCUUCAGUAGGUUGGGGCCUGGGCAUCUGCAUUUCAACAAGGGAUGCAGCUGAUUCUGAUGUAAGCAGACUUCGUGGGUCCUUACUGCAAGAAUCACUGGGCUACCAAAGCAUAAUGUUCUUGGCAAGUAGCGAAAGCUUGGCUGGAGAAGCAGAACUGGUUCUUAUCCAACAAUUCUUUAAGCUCAUGGAUAGACAUUUUGUGCGUCCCUGCCUGCCUUAUGUUCCAGCAUCCUGCCUCCAAGGUUCUGGAACCUUGGGUGCCCCAGCAUCACAUCUUCCCAGUCUGCACGUUGGCAGAGAAGGAAGCCGUCCUGCCUCUUCAUCUCUGAAAUUAGUAGAAGACCAAAGUCCUUGUAUAUUUCAAAAUAUUGAAGAAGAAAGUGACUGUUUAACCACCUACGUGAUAAAACUGAUACUGGCAUUUAUCAGUCUGUGUGUGUGUGUGUGUGUGUGUGUGUUUCAGUAGUUAGAAAAUGGAGCCUCCAUUUUCCCGUCAUCCGCUUUGAAGCUAUGUAGUGGGUGAAUGCCAUCAUUUCUGUUUCCGACCUCUUUAGCAUCCAUUAUUUCUCUGUUGUCCACAUCUAAUAGUCUGGAUCCUUUUAGUUGUUGAUGGCGCAGCGAUUACUGGGGCUGCUGCUUUAGGAUGACUUCCAAAUGCAUCUGAACAGUUGAAUUUAUUUACUGCUUCCCUCCUGAAAGCUUUUUAGCAUGAUCCAGCUGGGGUGGUUUCAUCGGGAAAACCAUUAUUUGCGGCUCUCUUUUUUUGAGGGGUAGAAAUAAAUUUCCCAAAAGGUGAAAGUGGACGCUGUUCAUUGUGGAUCUGCAAUCUUACUUUUUCUUCUCUCUCCUUCUUACAUUCCAUUUGCACAGUUUUUCUCAGGAAUGACUUCUUUCUGGGGAAAUGGAAUGUUCUAAAUGGCACGAUUGAGUCAAAUCAAUGUUUAGAGUGGUUUGGACUUUUAAGCCUUUUGCUGGAUUUUGGCAGUAUCAUUUUAUACUGUAAAACCCCUUUUUUCCCAGGUAACCUAUAAUAUUCAUAUUGAACAUUAUUCACAGCUUUCUA
This 5598-nucleotide long non-coding RNA is filed under the name Equus caballus (horse). RNAcentral describes it as "lncRNA (ENSECAG00000059349.1)". The record is from RNAcentral. Lineage: Eukaryota; Metazoa; Chordata; Mammalia; Perissodactyla; Equidae.